Molecule: ribosomal RNA, 500 nt
Filed under: Pseudomonas fluorescens
Lineage: Bacteria; Pseudomonadati; Pseudomonadota; Gammaproteobacteria; Pseudomonadales; Pseudomonadaceae
Description: bacterial SSU rRNA
Rfam family: Bacterial small subunit ribosomal RNA
Source: RNAcentral
AGUUCGAUCCUGGCUCAGAUUGAACGCUGGCGGCAGGCCUAACACAUGCAAGUCGAGCGGUAGAGAGAAGCUUGCUUCUCUUGAGAGAGGCGGACGGGUGAGUAAAGCCUAGGAAUCUGCCUGGUAGUGGGGGAUAACGUUCGGAAACGGACGCUAAUACCGCAUACGUCCUACGGGAGAAAGCAGGGGACCUUCGGGCCUUGCGCUAUCAGAUGAGCCUAGGUCGGAUUAGCUAGUUGGUGAGGUAAUGGCUCACCAAGGCGACGAUCCGUAACUGGUCUGAGAGGAUGAUCAGUCACACUGGAACUGAGACACGGUCCAGACUCCUACGGGAGGCAGCAGUGGGGAAUAUUGGACAAUGGGCGAAAGCCUGAUCCAGCCAUGCCGCGUGUGUUAAGAAGGUCUUCGGGUUGUAAAGCACUUUAAGUUGGGAGGAAGGGCAUUAACCUAAUACGUUAGUGUUUUGACGUUACCGACAGAAUAAGCACCGGCUAACUCUG